RNAcentral lists this long non-coding RNA (1022 nucleotides) under Ananas comosus (pineapple). RNAcentral's name for it is "long non-coding RNA (ACOM_LNC041573)". Lineage: Eukaryota; Viridiplantae; Streptophyta; Magnoliopsida; Poales; Bromeliaceae. The record is from RNAcentral.
UAUAACUAGGCAAGAAUUAACUAAAUUGAUCCUAGAUUCUAGCAAUAAUCAUCUAUUUAGCAUGCUAGAAUAGCUUUAAAUCCAUUCUUGAAGCUUAAAACCCAAACUACAAAGAGAUACCAUAAAAGGGUUUUGAAGCUUACCUUCAAACCUUGCUCCAAUGGAGAGGAAGAAGAUGGAGAAGAUGGAAAUCCACCUUAGAGCUUCGAUCUCCACCAAAAUCAUCUCUUUUUGGGAGAGAUUUAGAGAGAGAAAGGAGAGUUUCUCUCUCUCCCUUCCAUGCGUGUGUGAGUGUGUGUAUGUGGCGCAUGUGUGUGUGCUGCACGGUUGAGGGAGGAAGGAGAAGAAGGGAUUAAUCCCUUUUUACAAGUUAGUCCCUCAACUUUACACUAUUCACAUCAGUUAGCAGUUCGGAACAGUUGGAGCCCUUCUGAAUGUCCGUUUGAGCUCAAAUUUGACAGGCAGUCUCGGUUUAACGUACUGAGUAAGAAUAUGUCUUAAGUUUUCAGUUUCGACCCCGUUUGGUCACCGAAAACUGUGCCGAACUGUAAUCUUAAUCAGAUAACUUUCGGAUUUUAUUUCUCACUCUACGGGUGUCAGAAUGGCAUAAAACUUUAUAUCUAGCCUCAUAAAAAUAUUUCUGACAUAUCCUCCAAUUUUCAUAAUUUUCUGAGACUAUACAUUUUCUGCUAAUUUAUCUGUCCCAUUUCCACAGAAAAUUCUAAAUCUUCUUUUUUCGCUCCGAUUUCAGCACAAGUCACUUCUGACUUAUGUUUUACUUAUCUAAAUCCAAUAAAAAUAGUAUCUCACACUUUUUUUUUAUUUUCACUUUUAUAUUUAAAAUCCGGUAUGUUACAUUCCACCGCAGCCUCACCGGAACCAUUUAAAUGUACACCGUAACUUCAUAGUUUUAGAAGUCCGGUACCUUACAUCCUCCCCUCCUUAAAAAGAGUUUCGUACUCGAAACUCAAAUAACUUCAACUCCAACUCACAGCCCCAACUCUAUUUAUCGAGUAACAACG